UAGCAACUUAGAACUUUUUAAAAGAGGCAAAGGCAGAGGAGAACAAAGGAAGGAGGAAGUAACUGGUGGAAUGCUGAGAAAGGUAAAAACACCUUCAAAUAAGGAAGAGGAACAGGCUAUGACCUAAUGCUUGCUUGAACCAGUAUAAGCAUGCCAGGGCAAAUAUUUAGGCUAAAUUUUGGAAGCUAAGAACAUAAACAUUUCAUUGUGCGGCAUCAUCAUGCAUGCUCUGUAAGAGGAGAGUAAGAUCAAUACUCCUACUUGUAAAUGAAAGAGAAGAAAACAAAAACAAGCAAAUUCCUUCUAAGGUGUGAGGAACAUGAGUAAACAGAGAAAUCACCUAAGGAGAAAACAGCAAGCAGAUUUGAAACUGUGGCCACCAACGACCCGAGGGAGCACAAAACCCAGCCCGCUUGCCAGGGAGGCUGGCAGAGCCUACACCCACUCUGGUGCCCUGGUCGGUUACAUUCUGCUUUUUGAAGCAGCGUUCAAAAUCAGUUGUGGAUCAAGUCAAGGUGAACUCUGAAACAAUACUUUAAAUACCCCUGGAUGAUUUUGAAGGUAUUUGUAAGUGAGAAUAAUUCAUUCUGUUUUAAAGCAUAGAAUUAAGUUUCCCCAAAUGCAACAUGUGAGUUAAAAGAAUCACACCCUUUUUUAAAAAAAAAAAAAC
Symphalangus syndactylus (siamang) is the source of this 670-nucleotide long non-coding RNA. RefSeq lists it as uncharacterized. The record is from RefSeq and is a predicted model, not a curated record. Lineage: Eukaryota; Metazoa; Chordata; Mammalia; Primates; Hylobatidae.